CAGUCGCCACGUAAUACGAAGGGGGCUAGCGUUGUUCGGAUUUACUGGGCGUAAAGCGCACGUAGGCGGGCUUUUAAGUCAGGGGUGAAAUCCCGGGGCUCAACCCCGGAACUGCCUUUGAUACUGGAAGUCUUGAGUAUGGAAGAGGUGAGUGGAAUUCCGAGUGUAGAGGUGAAAUUCGUAGAUAUUCGGAGGAACACCAGUGGCGAAGGCGGCUCACUGGUCCAUUACUGACGCUGAGGUGCGAAAGCGUGGGGAGCAAACAGGAUUAGAUACCCCAGUAGUCCCUGUCUCUUAUACA
RNAcentral lists this ribosomal RNA (301 nucleotides) under uncultured bacterium. RNAcentral describes it as "partial 16S ribosomal RNA". It matches the Rfam family "Bacterial small subunit ribosomal RNA", at positions 509 to 808 of the family's 1533-position model. The record is from RNAcentral.